GAUGAACGCUGGCGGCGUGCCUAACACAUGCAAGUCGAACGAAGCACCUUACCUGAUUCUUCGGAUGAAAGUUUGGUGACUGAGUGGCGGACGGGUGAGUAACGCGUGGGUAACCUGCCCUGUACAGGGGGAUAACAGCUGGAAACGGCUGCUAAUACCGCAUAAGCGCACGAGGAGACAUCUCCUUGUGUGAAAAACUCCGGUGGUACAGGAUGGGCCCGCGUCUGAUUAGCUGGUUGGCAGGGUAACGGCCUACCAAGGCAACGAUCAGUAGCCGGUCUGAGAGGAUGAACGGCCACAUUGGAACUGAGACACGGUCCAAACUCCUACGGGAGGCAGCAGUGGGGAAUAUCGCACAAUGGGGGAAACCCUGAUGCAGCAACGCCGCGUGAGUGAAGAAGUAUUUCGGUAUGUAAAGCUCUAUCAGCAGGGAAGAUAAUGACGGUACCUGACUAAGAAGCUCCGGCUAAAUACGUG
Molecule: ribosomal RNA, 477 nt
Filed under: uncultured bacterium
Lineage: Bacteria
Description: partial 16S ribosomal RNA
Rfam family: Bacterial small subunit ribosomal RNA
Source: RNAcentral